This is a long non-coding RNA of Strigops habroptila (Kakapo), 142 nucleotides long. RefSeq lists it as uncharacterized. Lineage: Eukaryota; Metazoa; Chordata; Aves; Psittaciformes; Psittacidae. The transcript is spliced from 2 exons. The record is from RefSeq and is a predicted model, not a curated record.
UUGGAUGGGAGUCGGAAGCUCAUCUGCUCAGCUGUUACAAGAUAUUUCACAAUGAAAAAGUUCUGAUGAGAAGAACAUGGGAAGAAGCAGAAGCAUUAUGCCAAGAUUUUGGAGCACAUCUUGCUAGUUUUAGCAAUAUCUA